This 253-nucleotide ribosomal RNA is filed under the name uncultured bacterium. RNAcentral describes it as "partial 16S ribosomal RNA". It matches the Rfam family "Bacterial small subunit ribosomal RNA", at positions 524 to 776 of the family's 1533-position model. The record is from RNAcentral.
UACGUAGGGGGCGAGCGUUGUCCGGAAUCAUUGGGCGUAAAGCGCGUGUAGGCGGUUCGGUAAGUCUGCUGUGAAAGUCCAGGGCUCAACCCUGGGAUGCCGGUGGAUACUGCCGAACUAGAGUGCGGAAGAGGCGAGUGGAAUUCCUGGUGUAGCGGUGAAAUGCGCAGAUAUCAGGAGGAACACCAAUGGCGAAGGCAGCUCGCUGGAACGGUACUGACGCUGAGGAGCGAAAGCCAGGGGAGCAAACGGG